Diceros bicornis minor is the source of this 313-nucleotide long non-coding RNA. RefSeq lists it as uncharacterized. NCBI's taxonomy places the organism in Eukaryota, Metazoa, Chordata, Mammalia, Perissodactyla, Rhinocerotidae. The transcript is spliced from 3 exons. The record is from RefSeq and is a predicted model, not a curated record.
AUCUGAAAGGAACUGAAUGCAAAUGCAGCUGAGAAGCCCCACGUGAAGUCAGCCUGUGACCUGUGACCCACACUGGGUCUAGUUGGAAUUCACAGGUUCUGUGGUCUUCAGGACAGCUCGCUGCUUUCGGAAAACUUACAGCAUUUCUAAGAAAGUGGCUCAUUUGCUCCUCUAGAAUUUAAAAGUGUAAAAUACCGGAAUAUUGUUGCAUAACCUUCUCUGGAGUUACAUGAUCAGAGAAGAUGCAGAGGAUACUAGCAAGCACAUAAUGUGACCCCUAACAACAUUUUCUAUAGGUGAAAUGAGGUAAGAA